UUGUGGUACAUAUAGUUUUCUAUACUGUGCUAGUUGCGUUUAUCUUUUGAUAUUAGUCCAAACCAGAACACAUAUAAUAAUUUAACGAAUACUAAGCAAGAUUAAUUAUCUUAUUGUGUCAAGUAACUAUGCCUAUUACAGUCAGAUUUGUAUAAAUGAGUUGUUUAUUUAGCUUAAAAUUCACUACAAGUACCAUGAUGCGUUUUGGUUUUGCACAAAUCAACCUACUUUAUUUAAUUAUUCAUUUACCUGAAUAUGUUUUACAUUUAUACACUUCUAGAACAGAGUAUGUGCAAUACAAGUGUGUGUUAACGAAUCUCUAACGUUGCUGUGUCAAAAGAUUAACGGUACAUGCAUGAAGAGACAGCAACAUAUAAGAAGUCAUUAUAUGUUGACAACAUUAGCUAGUAUUAGCCACUAGCUAGCUAAAUUGUAAGUCUUCCCAAAUUCGAUAAUCAUUUUGUUGUAAUCAAUGUCAAUAUAUAUUUUAUUUGGCUUUACUGCUAUUAGCCCAUACAAACGCAUUGAAUAAUAGGUUCACCACAUGGAACAACAGCUAGUCCCCCCCAGAAAUAUCUAAUGUAAAUUAUUCUUUCCAUAAUAGUUUGUAGGCCAAACCGUUGGGACGCUACAGACGAUUUUGUGAGAAAACCGAUUUUCGGGAUCUCUCAUGGCCUGUCAAACACCGCUCUACCGCGGUCACCUUUCACCGCAGAUGCGACAUUGGUGGAUUGAGAACAGAUCUCUAGUUUAAAUGAACGGAUUUUGAUGGGGAUUUUGUAUUAUGCUAAUUGGAUUUUCGCAGGGGCGCGGACAUCGAGGUGUAUGUACACUAGAAAGCGGUAAAUUGCCGAGUGCCGUUUAGGCCGCGCGUUGUGACUCGCUUGUGGGCUGCUGGCAGCAUAUGGCAGCCUUCUCGAUUGUGAGUCAAGAAUUCAGCAUAGCAAGUUCGUAUGAAGGUCUUGUUAUUAAAUGGGUACAUAGUUCAAUAGUAACAUCCUCUAAAACGCUCUGGUGACAAACAAACUUUGCUGCCCUGUUUCCAAUUGUUCACAUGGCUGGGAUAACCUAUUCAAGUUAUACCAGCUGUGUCAGUGAACCCCUCCCACAUCUGAACUGGCUACAUAUAGGGCACAGCAUGAUCAGUGCUGAGAGGUCACUUGGUCAGGUCAACAGAAAGUAUUAUUAAAGAGAUGCUUUACACUGAGAUGCAGUAGUCCCAGAGUUAAUGAUCCAAGAUAUGUUUUGAUGUGAGAGAGGAUGCCAACCCCCCAGUCCCAUCAUCGCCACCUCACCCGCUUUUAAGAUAACCUUCGGGCAGAUGAGACACUAUUAUGUAAUUGUGAUGAACUGAGAGAAUAUUUGGGUAGCACUGUGAUUCAUUAAUCAUAUUCUGCCUUCCCUGUUCCUAUGUUCUUACCUCUUUCCCUUUCUGUCUUUUACACCUCUCUCGCCACCACCUCUUUCUUCCUCUGUUUUUAUAAUGCACAACAGAUGUGCAGUGAAGUACAGAUUGAACUUGUAUUUAUAAUAUUUAUAAUGCAUGUAUUUAUAACACUUGGAUAAUGA
Salmo salar (Atlantic salmon) is the source of this 1569-nucleotide long non-coding RNA. RefSeq lists it as uncharacterized. Lineage: Eukaryota; Metazoa; Chordata; Actinopteri; Salmoniformes; Salmonidae. The record is from RefSeq and is a predicted model, not a curated record.